Molecule: non-coding RNA, 166 nt
Organism: Caenorhabditis elegans
Lineage: Eukaryota; Metazoa; Nematoda; Chromadorea; Rhabditida; Rhabditidae
Source: Ensembl
GGAGCCACCAAAAGAGCAAGGGAUUUGAUGAGACAGAGACAAGAAGAGAGCGUUGUCUAAGGUGAUUGAUGAAGGGGUAAGGAGUGAUGAUGGGAUGAGCGGGGGAUCCCGGGGAGCCGAAGGACUUUGCCGCAACUCGGGUCAUCCCCUCCCACGAGUUUUAAAA